AGCGGCAAAAGCUCAAAUUUGAAAUCUGGUACCUUCGGUGCCCGAGUUGUAAUUUGGAGAGGGCAACUUUGGGGCCGUUCCUUGUCUAUGUUCCUUGGAACAGGACGUCAUAGAGGGUGAGAAUCCCGUGUGGCGAGGAGUGCGGUUCUUUGUAAAGUGCCUUCGAAGAGUCGAGUUGUUUGGGAAUGCAGCUCUAAGUGGGUGGUAAAUUCCAUCUAAAGCUAAAUAUUGGCGAGAGACCGAUAGCGAACAAGUACAGUGAUGGAAAGAUGAAAAGAACUUUGAAAAGAGAGUGAAAAAGUACGUGAAAUUGUUGAAAGGGAAGGGCAUUUGAUCAGACAUGGUGUUUUGUGCCCUCUGCUCCUUGUGGGUAGGGGAAUCUCGCAUUUCACUGGGCCAGCAUCAGUUUUGGUGGCAGGAUAAAUCCAUAGGAAUGUAGCUUGCCUCGGUAAGUAUUAUAGCCUGUGGGAAUACUGCCAGCUGGGACUGAGGACUGCGACGUAAGUCAAGGAUGCU
RNAcentral lists this ribosomal RNA (516 nucleotides) under Saccharomyces cerevisiae (brewer's yeast). Its description in RNAcentral is "partial large subunit ribosomal RNA". It matches the Rfam family "Eukaryotic large subunit ribosomal RNA", at positions 97 to 627 of the family's 3401-position model. The record is from RNAcentral. Lineage: Eukaryota; Fungi; Ascomycota; Saccharomycetes; Saccharomycetales; Saccharomycetaceae.